RNAcentral lists this ribosomal RNA (409 nucleotides) under uncultured bacterium. RNAcentral's name for it is "bacterial SSU rRNA". It matches the Rfam family "Bacterial small subunit ribosomal RNA", at positions 370 to 772 of the family's 1533-position model. The record is from RNAcentral.
AAUGGGCGAAAGCCUGACGCAGCGACGCCGCGUGGGUGAUGAAGGCCUUCGGGUUGUAAAGCCCUGUGGGGAGAGACGAAUAAGGCCGGGCGAAUAUCCCGGUUGAUGACGGUAUCUCUUUAGCAAGCACCGGCUAACUCUGUGCCAGCAGCCGCGGUAAGACAGAGGGUGCAAACGUUGUUCGGAAUUACUGGGCGUAAAGCGCAUGUAGGCGGCCAGGCAGGUCGGGUGUGAGAUCCCUCGGCUCAACCAAGGAAGUGCACUCGAAACCGCAUGGCUAGAGUCCCGGAGAGGAAGGCGGAAUUGUCGGUGUAGAGGUGAAAUUCGUAGAUAUCGACAGGAACACCUGUGGCGAAAGCGGCCUUCUGGACGAGGACUGACGCUGAGAUGCGAAAGCGUGGGGAGCAAA